RNAcentral lists this long non-coding RNA (4340 nucleotides) under Nicotiana tabacum (common tobacco). Its description in RNAcentral is "long non-coding RNA (NTAB_LNC001477)". Lineage: Eukaryota; Viridiplantae; Streptophyta; Magnoliopsida; Solanales; Solanaceae. The record is from RNAcentral.
UGUUCAUGCAUAACAAAUAAUAUUGGCUCAAGUCGGGUAUUAUUAUCUCUAGGUUUAACCCUUUAAUUGGGGCUAUCAAUCUCUUGAAUUUACCCCAAUUCCUUGUUAGCCUAAUUUUCCUAGACUUAGUCCCUCUUUCUCACGAAGAGUCUAAGUCAUAAAGGCACGAAUCAGUAUUUGCAACCACUAAUUCUACAAUUAAAGCAUUAAUUAGGCUAAAUAUCAGUAGCCCAUAAACAAUUAAGCCCUAAAAUUCAAAACCCAUUAAAUAUCCACACUAAGGUUGGGUCACAACCCUAGCUAUGGAUUUAGCUACUCAUGAAACUAGCAGAAAUCAAGGAUAAAGAUGAAAUAUAAGCCAUAAUAUUCAAAUACAAGAUGAAAAUCUAAAGAUUGAAGAUGAAUCUACUCUAGAAUUACUCAAAAGGCAAAAACGAGUCGUUCACGUGUUCUCCUUGACAAAACUUAACCUAAUAAUGUGAAAAUAAUCUAUUUAUACUAGGCUGAAAUUCCCAGACAAAAAUGCCCCUACAGAGAAUUAGCCGCGUAAUAAUGACCGCAGUCCGCGUUUCUUCAAUUCUGGGCUUGGGUUGGACUUGGUUUCGUGGACAGCGUAAUUUCAUCCGCGUUCGCGUGUGCUUCCAUCGCGGCCACGUAAUUUGAACGCGAACCGCAUUCUUCUAUUUAAGCAUGACUUGCAGGGUUUCUGAACUUCAAUCACCGUUCUCAGCAAAAAUACCACCACAGCUGCGUUAGAUAUUUCGCGACUGCGUUAGAUAUUCCGCGGCCACAUCAGAUAUUCUAUGGCUGCACUUUUCCAUUGCAGUUAGCGGUAGAAUUUGUGCCCAAAUUAGCCUCUCUGAACUUUACUUUAGCGGGCCGUAUAUUUGUGGACGCCUCAGCGGUGUUCCUCAAGCGACCACGUAUUUUGCUCGCUCUCCGCGCUCCAAUUCCCAGUCUUUAGUCUGUGCAAGUUUACUCCUUCAUGAGUUUAUUUUGGCUUCUUUGCCUCAUUUUGACCAAACCUUGUAAGUAAGCAGAGUAAAUUAGUUUUUGGGAAUACUUUUAUACAUUUUUGGUCCAAAACCUAAGCAAAAGAGAACACAUAAUAGGUUAAAAUCCAUAGUUACCACUACUCAAUGCAAUCAUCUCUCAUCAGCUCAUUGCUGCUACCCAAGCACCUGUAGACAUGGAACCAAUGUUCAACAUUCUUCUCUAUCCCUUCACUAGAUUUGUGAUCCUCCUUGCAUUCCUUACCCUUUGGUUCGUAAAACCACAAGCCAUAGAGUAGGAAAAUAUUUACCAGAAAGAGAAAAGGAGUAAGCUUAAUAUAUAGUUCAUUAUGCCUUGAGAACAAAUUCAACAAUUUUUGUAGCCCCUUAUUCAGUUUAUCAGGUUUACUAUUUCUUACCUCCAAUUUUAUAUAUACUUCGGGCAGCGCCCCAACGCUCCAAGAACUUGUUGGCUAGCCUAUCAGAGUAUGUCAAGUUUGGAUCCAUAGUUGGGCCUACCGCAAUGAUACCCAAUCAGAAGAUUCAUAGCUAAAGUUUUCUAUAAUCUAAAAGAAAUCACUAGACAAUUUAAUUUUGGAUGAUAUUAGUUUGACUCCUAGAUGCUCUAAUCAGUCAAUACUAAAAACAUCUUAGGAUUUUAUUGAUACAUCAAACAACAAGCAAUGGUUAUGAAAAGUACACGAACAAAAGACAUAUGCAAAGAUAAAUGCAAUGUAGAAUCUUCUACACAUAAUAUACAAUACUUUAAAGCAUGAAUUGACGUACUCGACUGGAUACAUUCUAGUUUAUAGAACUCUUGUACACAAAAUACUUGACUUCACCCUCCUACAAAAUAACAUCAAUCAAACACAAACUACUGCUCAAUAGAGACAGGUAAAUGCCAAGUUAACAUUAGCAUGGAAAUCAAGAUAAAAUGCCAUAAUUUGCACCCAAAAAAAGAGAUUAUUGCUAUUCAAUACAGAAAAGUGAAGUAUCAUGCGAGAGGUUGAUGAAGCACUUUUUCAAGAAACUCAACACAAGAAAACUGAGCAUAAUUGAAGAAAAGGGUAUACCCUUAAUUGAUCUCUCACUGGUUCUAACCUCUGACCCCUCCAACUCCUUACAUUAUAAAAUCUUGUAGCAGAGUUAUGCUAACCGGGUAUGUUUUCAAGUGAUAAACCAUGAAGUUCCAUCAGUAUGCCGUGAAAAGAUAGAUGGAGAAAUUUUUCUUACAACCCAUAGUGGAGAAGUGACUACAGAUUAAACCUGUGAUAUAUGUUUCUAUAAUACAGAAACCCAUAAUAAGAAUGUUAGGGGUGGGAAAGAAUUUUUGAUUUUCUACAGUCUAGCAACUAUAGAUAUGAAACUCAAUAUUUAAAACUCAGAAUAACAUUCAUAAUCCACAAAAACACUACAAGUCAUUUUAUUUAGCUAUUGUCAUCCCUGAAAAGAAUCCACCUAACUUAGUAUAAGAGAGAUUAACUGAUAGAAAAUGGGCUAUAUUCAUUCUAGUUCUAUUCUUUUAGGAUUCCAAGAAAGAGAUGGGAGAAGAAGAGAUAGAGUUUCUUGAAUUACAUCAUAAAAUGCUGGAGGAGCAAAGUGAAUUGAUCAGAUUCAAAAAAGGAGCAGAGUCAUUGAUAAGAUUGACCUGCAACUAGCAAAGGAUUUUAUAUAUAACUACUGCAUCCUAAGAAGUUUAAUAUAUUUAAUUAGAAAUAGAAGAUAAUAACCAAUCACGAAAACAUAAAUCACAACUGCUACAAGGAACUCGGUAAUAGAAAAGCGAGUGAGUUAUUUUUUCUUAAGCAUAUGACAGUUAAAAUUCAAUCUAUCUAAUUCCAACAAGAUAGAGUUAGAAUAUUCUCUCUAGAAAUAUAUAGAUCAGACGAAAUUGUGUAACAACCAGAAUUAUUCAACAUAAAUAGUAAUUUAUAUAUACUAUAUUGAUCUCAACAACUAGAAUAUUGCAACUCUAGAACGUAAACAACAAAUGAAAAUGGCAGAACUACAUAAAUAUGAUAGGUAACCAGAAAGGGGAUAGGGAAUUAGAUUGAUUCAGAAAAGGACUUGAGAAGCACAAACUUUGGCUAAGCAUGAUCACAAUACACAUAAUUUUAAAAACUGCUAAUGACACCCCCUUUAUCCUUUUGUCACAUGCUUCCUAACUCAACCUGGAUUCCAAGCAAAUGUCUUCUUGGGCUGUCUAAUUCCUUGGCAUUUUGCUGUUUAGCACCAUGCCCAAUAGCUUGGCCAACCUUUGUCCAAACAACCGGCCCAUAAACAUAUCGGAGUUAUCCUUGUUAACAACAAAGUGGUAGAGGUACAAAGUUAUAAUACAUGUGCAGAUUAAAGUUGGAAAAAUAGUUAUAAGUUUAAUAUCCAACUAUUUUAUAUUUUGAACAAACUCUAACAAAAAAAGGAACUAAAGAGAGUAGAUAAUUGCAUUGGGUCAGCCACUCUAUGAAAGAAAUUCAAACAUUAAUCUCACUCUUUAGAUUAAGAACCACUCAAUUUUGAGGUAUAUUUUUGUAAAUGGCACAUUUAAGUAAGACAUACUAAUGAAUAUCCCUUGUUCCAGCUCAAGAGACUUCAAUAUAUGUAGCAUUUGAAGACUACUCAGCAUUUUCAAUUAUGUCGAAGAAUAUAGAGCAUUUCCCCUGUUAAUAAUUCAGUUUUGUUAAUCGACAAAGUGAGCAAAGUGUAUACUAGAAUUUUGUUAACUUAACCAUAAAAUAUGCAACUUUCAACAAGUAUAUUGCGUAUAAUUACAAUAAUAGCUUAAUAAUCUGUUCACAAAAGGAUAGUACCUCCAUGUUUCGAUCUUGAGCAUUUCAACCAAUAGCAAUGUAACAUCCAUCUGAAAUAAUCAUCUCACAACAAAUAUCUCGACUCUGCCACUGUAAUCAUUAGAAGUUAAAAUUGACAAACCCUAGUUGCUUUAAAAAGAUCAAAUAUGUUAUGCGCAUUCGCUUAGAAAGUAAUGAAAAUUUGCAUAGAUGUUCAACUUAGCAAUCACAUAGCACUAAUUGAAGCAAAUCAAACAGAGAAUGUUUGAGAUAACCAAAUCGCAUUUGACGAACAGAGCAAACAAAAUCACGAAGAACAGAAAACAUAAUAUAAACAAUUGUGCAUGUGAUUCUACAAUUCUAAGAGGCAGGGAAAGUACAACGCGUGGCGAACGAAGAGUGUGAUUCUUAUUCUGCAAGUUGACGGGCGGCGGCGAUGGAAUGGAGGAACAUACGACGAUGGUGGGAGCGGAGGCAUUUUGGUGAGCAGGACAAAGGGAGGGAAUUUUUGAACAGUAAAAAGGAAUUGGAGAGAAGUGCACAAUUAUUAAAGUGGUCUCUC